CUUCAACUUGCAGGGCAGAGAGGAAGACUCACAUGAACAGCAGCAGGACCAACUCAGACACUGGCCAGGGCCAUCAGUGGGCCUACAGGAUUAAACUGCUGCCUCUUCCUCCUUGAUGCUUGCUCUUCCAGAGCCCAUUCUCAAGAGCUACUGAAAAUGACUCCAGAGUCAUUUCAAGUGUCAUUUCGGGUCCAGAGACAGUGUGGAGCCAUUUUAUGUCACUUAAAAAAAAAAAAAAAUCCCCACGAUUUUUUCAACAAAAAUAUCGGAGGAAUUGAGGUUGGCAUUGAGGCAUUGCUGGAGAGCAAGCAAUGAAGGAACGAUCCCCCAUGUUUAUUCAUGAGGACUACGUGUGGAACACCACCAGAAGCUGAAGAAAAGUGAGACUUCACUGCCUCACAUAGAGGCUUAUCAGCACACCAUAGAACACUGAGUGGCAGUAUUAUAUAAAACAAAAUAUCGAGAGAGCGAGAGAAUACACACACACACCCCUUUCCAGCAUUUUCACGCUGAAUUUAAUAGAUAUGAAUUCUUCAGCACUUCCAAGUGUGGGAAGGACUACGUUUCAGAAGUGAAGGAAUAGGUGAAAUUUUAGAACAUUAUUGGGCCAGAUCUCUACACUACUAAGCCAAGAGUUUAACUAUCUUCUUCAAAGACUUAAUGAAUGCAGCUAUAAUCUCUGAACUUAAAGUUGCUAAGCAGCUGUGUAGCUGCUUUAAAGAUGAAGAUCCCUUUGGCUCAAUGCUACACCAUGUGUACAUCAUUUGUCUAAUGCUAUGUACACUUGCAAUUAUUAAGUUCUAGCAUACAAAGUAUGCAACAAAGUAGAAUGAACGUGAAGCUAUUAAAUGGGGCAUUCAGAUAUGAUAGUUUCCUACUUUGUAUUAAAUCAGCAAAAGCAGAAGUUCAUGUGAGAAAUCUAGAUGCA
Molecule: long non-coding RNA, 928 nt
Organism: Hemicordylus capensis (graceful crag lizard)
Lineage: Eukaryota; Metazoa; Chordata; Lepidosauria; Squamata; Cordylidae
Exons: 4
Source: RefSeq, a predicted model, not a curated record